Paramormyrops kingsleyae is the source of this 1463-nucleotide non-coding RNA. NCBI's taxonomy places the organism in Eukaryota, Metazoa, Chordata, Actinopteri, Osteoglossiformes, Mormyridae. The record is from RefSeq and is a predicted model, not a curated record.
UUCGCUGCAGUAGCUAUUUCUCGGUGACUGUUUUGCUAUUUUAUGCAGCUACUUCCAGGUGCUUCUUGCAUGUGUUCGCAGCUCCCGUGAUUCCCGGCUACCUCCUAAAUUUUUGGACUCAGACGUCUGUGCGUUUCGCCUUAGCCUGAGUCGCUUUGACGUCAGCAGCGAUGGGGACCGCCAUCGAUUUGUUCAUAAGGUAGCCAAUGAUUUGCUGGGAGACACGGAGGUUAUACAUCGUCGAAAUUUCAUUCAUAAAAAAUACCGCAGCAUUCCGCCCCUCCCACUGCGGCUUCUCGUAUAGGCCCAGUAUAUGCAUCCACACAACGUAACGGGAAAGCCUGCCGUCAUCAUCUUUCCACGGCCACCCCCCAGUACCGACCACCCCCGGUUUCAGUUAAAUAACUACACUAGCCGUUUACGUGCCUUCUAGGCAUACAAGGUGAAAAAACGGCACAAGGUCACGCGUUAAUAACCAAUACAAUUCAGUUUUGCAUUUAUAAAUAAUAGACUACUCUGAACUUAAUAAUAGGCCGUGUCUGUUGAGUAAAACACUGGCUGAGCGCCGUGAGGAGCUUCCCGUGGUGCUGAAACAGCCAAAUGGAUCCAGUUUACGGUGCAUAAUUACGGCGCUAGCACACACAGCUGUUUAAAAUGUUUUGGGUUUUUUUUCUUUCUUUUUCCGUUUAACGCGUUUCAAGAAGCAUUCAACAAGUGUUUUAAGUCUAUUUUUUAUUUGGAGAAAUCUUAGAUAGUAGCAGGAAUUAAUGUACACACGUAUAAGUACCAGUGCAUAAUAUAUGAGGUAUAUUUUAUGUAAAUCCAAGGAACUAUGAAUGCAUUGGUCUUUUUAUUGUCACAAUAAAUAGUCUGGUUAUAACUGUACCGCAACAAAAACUGUGCAUUGUCCAUCAUCAUCAUCAUCAUUAAUAGUUGUUGCUGUUGUCGUUCAUUUUUUUUGUUUCAUAUUUUAAGUCAUGAUGGCCCAUGCAAACCGCCAUGAUUCCCCGCAAUGAUUCUGUGAAGCGUUCAGAAGCGGGACGCAGCCUGGCGGCGGCGGGGAUCCUCCGUCCCCCCUUUAGCGUGAGCGCGUGGGCGAUGCGCAGUGCAAUGCGUACGUGGACGCGCAUGCCAAUGUGAUGGUGGGCGAGGCGUCUGCCUGGCGGGGCGAACCUCAUCCUCACAGUCGCUAUAUAAGGAGCUGCGGAGGACGCUAACGUGACCUCAGCCCUCUCGGCGAGGCUGCAUCGCGCAGGUGCGACGGGGUGCAUUUCAAAGGGCUCCCAGGAUGGGUUUUCCACGACGGGAAGUAUUAUGGAUUUUAUUGGUGAUCGGCUUGAUGGAAACGUAUCGCUGUCAAACCACAGUGGCAGAUGACUGUGGGCGCCUGGAUGGAUGCGGGGACUGCAUCAGCGGAGAUUCCCUCAACCUGACGGGCUGCGUUUGGAGGCAGUGUGAUGACG